This 444-nucleotide ribosomal RNA is filed under the name uncultured soil bacterium. RNAcentral describes it as "bacterial SSU rRNA". It matches the Rfam family "Bacterial small subunit ribosomal RNA", at positions 26 to 518 of the family's 1533-position model. The record is from RNAcentral.
AGAACGAACGCUGGCGGCAUGCCUAACACAUGCAAGUCGAACGAGAUCUUCGGAUCUAGUGGCGCACGGGUGCGUAACGCGUGGGAAUCUGCCCUUGGGUUCGGGAUAACAGUUGGAAACGACUGCUAAUACCGGAUGAUGUCGCAAGACCAAAGAUUUAUCGCCCAGGGAUGAGCCCGCGUAGGAUUAGCUAGUUGGUGAGGUAAAGGCUCACCAAGGCGACGAUCCUUAGCUGGUCUGAGAGGAUGAUCAGCCACACUGGGACUGAGACACGCCAGACUCUACGGGAGCAGCAGUGGGAAUAUGGACAAUGGGCGCAAGCCUAGAGUCCAGCAAUGCCGCGUGAGUGAUGAAGGCCGUUAGGUGUAAAGCUCUUUACCCGGAUGAUAAGUGACGGUACGGAGAAACGUAACGCCCGACUAACUCCGUGCCUAGCCACGCCGC